GAUGAAGAACGUAGCGAAAUGCGAUAAGUAAUGCGAAUUGCAGAAUCCGUGAGUCAUCGAAUCUUUGAACGCACAUUGCGCCCUCUGGUAUUCCGGAGGGCAUGCCUGUUCGAGCGUCAUUAUCACCCCUCAAGCCCGGCUUGUUGUUGGAUGCAGCGCUUAUCCCGCUCCUCCCAAAGAUAAUGACGGCGUCUGCGACGACUCCUGUACACUGAGCUUUCAGGCACGUACACGGCUAGAAGUCCAGACCCGGUCGCCGUCCCCCCCGCGGGGACACCCAUUACCACAAGGUUGACCUCGGAUCAGGUAGGAAUACCCGCUGAACUUAAGCAUAUCAAUAAGCGGAGGA
Molecule: unclassified non-coding RNA, 349 nt
Filed under: soil metagenome
Description: partial contains 5.8S ribosomal RNA, internal transcribed spacer 2, and large subunit ribosomal RNA
Rfam family: 5.8S ribosomal RNA (bases 1-119)
Source: RNAcentral